CUACGGGAGGCAGCAGUGAGGAAUAUUGCACAAUGGGGGGAACCCUGAUGCAGCAACGCCGCGUGGAGGAUGACGCAUUUCGGUGUGUAAACUCCUUUUAUAUGUCAAGAAAAUGACGGUAGCAUAUGAAUAAGCACCGGCUAACUCCGUGCCAGCAGCCGCGGUAAUACGGAGGGUGCAAUCGUUACUCGGAAUCACUGGGCGUAAAGGACGCGUAGGCGGGUUGGAAAGUCAGGUGUGAAAUCCUACAGCUUAACUGUAGAACUGCACUUGAAACUUCUAAUCUAGAGUAUGGGAGGGGGGGAUGGAAUUAGUGGUGUAGGGGUAAAAUCCGUAGAUAUCACUAGGAAUACCUAAAGCGAAGGCGAUCUCCUGGAACAUUACUGACGCUAAGGCGUGAAAGCGUGGGGAGCAAACAGGAUUAGAUACCCUAGUAGUC
RNAcentral lists this ribosomal RNA (439 nucleotides) under uncultured bacterium. RNAcentral's name for it is "partial 16S ribosomal RNA". It matches the Rfam family "Bacterial small subunit ribosomal RNA", at positions 339 to 795 of the family's 1533-position model. The record is from RNAcentral.